Molecule: ribosomal RNA, 502 nt
Filed under: uncultured Glomeromycotina
Lineage: Eukaryota; Fungi; Glomeromycota
Description: partial small subunit ribosomal RNA
Rfam family: Eukaryotic small subunit ribosomal RNA
Source: RNAcentral
CCAAUAGCGUAUAUUAAAGUUGUUGCAGUUAAAAAGCUCGUAGUUGAACUUCGGGGUUUGCUCAUUGGUCAGGCUUAAUUGUCUGUACUGGUGGGAUAAAUCUCUACCUUCUGAGGAACUUUCAUGCCAUUUAUUUGGUGUGAUGGGAAAUCAGGACUGUUACUUUGAAAAAAUUAGAGUGUUUAAAGCAGACUAACGUCUGAAUACAUUAGCAUGGAAUAAUGAAAUAGGACGGACUGAUUCUAUUUCGUUGGUUUCUAGGAUCACCGUAAUGAUUAAUAGGGAUAGUUGGGGGCAUUAGUAUUCAAUUGUCAGAGGUGAAAUUCUUGGAUUUAUUGAAGACUAACUACUGCGAAAGCAUUUGCCAAGGAUGUUUUCAUUAAUCAAGAACGAAAGUUAGGGGAUCGAAGACGAUCAGAUACCGUCGUAGUCUUAACCAUAAACUAUGCCGACUAGGAAUCAGACGAUGUUAAUUUUUUAAUGACUCGUUUGGCACCUUACG